GUCUGAAUUAAGCUCUAUAUUUUUCUACCCUUACAUGAACAGAAUUUAAAGAAGACAAGAAUGGCAACUGAAGAUUGUGAGAUGAGAAGCAGACAAAAACAAGGGAGGCAAAUUGAUUGAGUUUGUUAUUUUUGUUGGCUUCCUAUAUAAAGCUAGAAAAUGAUCAAAGCAGAUGAUGCAUGUAAAACAGAAGAAUGAUUGGAUUUUCAGCAUAUCACCUUCCAAAUGAUCUCUGCACAAAGCGCUCAACAGCUUAACAGAACUGUUCUGCUAAACAGCUGCCUGUGUAUUUCUGUGUUCCACUUAAUGAUAUUCAUGAAAUACCCUUAUUUGCGAGGAAAAUCACUGAACAUCCACCUACUCACUUUAACAAAUUUGUCUGAAUUGUUAUUGGAGACUUCUGACCAGAUGACUGUCAAGUUCCUGGUUAUCUCAUUUGUUAAACUGUGGAAUCUAUGUACCAAAAGAAAUGACGACCAGUCUCCUCCAGCAUUCAAUGAAGUACCACUUUUUAUGCUUUGUUCUGCAUUAAAGAUUUGAGCAAAAUCUUUGAUUAAACAUAAAUCUCUGGCUUCAACCAGCAACUUUUCUGAAGCAUGGUCAUGAAGGUGUUGCUGCACUCCUGAAGAUGUGGAUGUCUUGGAAUUAUCACAACAUAAUGCUUCUAAACUUUAUCCAGGAUCUAUGGAGAAAGGCACUUGAGAGAAAUCUCUUUGAGUCAGUUCAAAAUUCAUAUGAAUCUAAAGCCAAUUCUCCAAUUAAUACUCUAACUAUUGCUCAGCUUCAUCUUCCACAGAACUGAACUUGUAGAAAUGACAAGUCUUACAGAAGGAUGCAACCAAUUGCUUUUUUUCUCCAUUUCAUGUACAAGUCAUCUGCACUGAAAGAAGAUAAACCAUCUAACGUAUUUGUUAUGUCUUUGCUUUUCUGCACUCAGAGAAAGAGACUCUUUUUCCAGUAACUAACUCACAGAACAGGAGGACGGGUGGCAUAUGGAGGCCAUGUAUAUACAUUUACUGUACCCACAAUAAAACAUUUAUGCUCUGUCUCUGUGAAUGAUGAUCUGUCAUCUUCUACAAUUACUACUUUGUGAACUGUGUACUUAAUUUUGGUACUUUUUUAGCUCCUGGUGUGUGAAGAAUGUGAUAUACAAGAUGGGUAGUGGUACUUUGCCUGAAAGUAAAGGUUUAUAAGAGUAUUUGUGUGAAUGUCAUUGUUCAGUGAUAAAGAUCUAAUUGAAGAAUUCAGUGAAUGUUUUACAGUGAUUGUUUUAUGUACUAUAUCUGCUUUUUAGUUCUGGAAGCAGAACACCAUCACAAUGACAAUUUAUUGUAUACUAAAAAACAAUAUUUACUAUUGAAAGGCUAAAUGUUAGCAUUACUCUUACACUUAGAUUUUCUUAAGGCACACUUAAGGAAACCUAGAAAGAAGAAUUUGUAUUUGGGCUUUUUUAAUGCUUUCCUUUCUAAAUUCUAAUGUAUGUGCUUUGCAUGGGCAGUGUAAAAUGAUCUUGUUUUGUUUUAGGACAUUGUUAGAUCAGCUAUUUGACAUAAUAGCAAAUUCCUUUGUAUUCCUUGUCUUCAAGCUGUUCUAUUCAAUAUACAGUGUUAUAAUUUUGCCACAUGGGGCACAGAAAGGAAUGAUAAAAAACUGAAUUAUGAUGUGGUGAUACUGUAAAUGAACUAUGACUUUAAAAUGGAUAUUUUUCUGAGUUUGAAAAGCAUAGAAAUAUGCGAUGUAUAAUCACAGGCUAGAAGAAGUGCAGUAAAAAUUAUUAAAGGAGCCUGACAAUGAAAACUUACCAAAAGUUAUCCGAACAUGUUACUUGUAUUGUUUCAAAAUUCAUCUUUGACAGUUUCUUCAAGUCUUAUGAAGCUACAAAAGUAACUUCAGUAGCUGUACUUUUAAAACAAAAAUUGAAAAUAAGCCUGAAAAGAUCAACAAAAAGCUGCUG
Long non-coding RNA from Gallus gallus (chicken), 1954 nucleotides. Lineage: Eukaryota; Metazoa; Chordata; Aves; Galliformes; Phasianidae. The record is from Ensembl.